Molecule: long non-coding RNA, 1221 nt
Filed under: Equus caballus (horse)
Lineage: Eukaryota; Metazoa; Chordata; Mammalia; Perissodactyla; Equidae
Description: lncRNA (ENSECAG00000051923.1)
Source: RNAcentral
AGCGCUUCUUCACUGGCUCCAUUUUUACAUUCGAUACACUUUACACUGGAGAUUAAGGAGCCCUUUUUACUACAUCUAAUUUUAAACCACUCCUUUGAACAGUGUGCUCUGUAAGCUUUUGCUACCUUCCUAUUUGCUUCCUUUAGAUGGAAAGAUAACACUCUUUCUAGUUUCCAGAGAAAAUUCCAUACUUAAAGAUGUUUCAAACUUGAACUGAACAGUCAACAGGGAGGACACCAUAGGCCUGAUCUUGUUGGAGAGCAGAGGAUAGGUAACUUUCAAAAUGUUUUUUGGAUACUUAGGCAUAAACUUACUACCUCUCCUUAAGAAAAAGAAUCAAGUUGAUUCAAAGUAUCCACAACGCUUGAAAGUUUUUUUGACCACUGCUGAAAGCCAGUAUUUUACAGUUUGGACCGUACGGUCUAUUAGCAGUUUGUUAUUAAUCUUUAGAAACAUGGACGCCUGAACGUCAAGCAUUGGGCUGGGUCAUCAAUGUCAAGAAUGGCUCAUUUUACUUGGGAACAGGGAUUUGGAAGAGUUUCAGAGACAAAGACUCAAGUCAUGUCAUCCAAGGGUGGGAAUAGGCACUUCUAGCAGUGUGGACAAAGGCACAAAGGUGUGCAACAGCACAGCACUCGAGAUGGUAUGCAUUUUAGCCCCUCGGGGGAUGUCUGCUAUGUGAACCCAGUUAGAAGAUUACUGCAAUUGUCCAAGAGAUGACGAAUUGAAAAGGGAAAGCAAGCUGGGGGACAAUUUACUCAAAUAAUGAAAUGUAGGAUGAGAAGCAAAAGAAAUUUGAGGGAACGGGUUAAAAGUUCUUAGGAAUCAAGUAGCAAGCUUAGUAGCUUUAUAGGAGCUACUAAGUUACAAGUAGCUGAACACUGCACCUACAGCUCCGAGAUGAAAGUCUGGGUGUGACUGGAGAACACAACUGCAAUUGGCCAGAGAGAACAUACAACGCACGAAGGAAGUCAAAGAAAAGAAGUAACCUCAAGUGAUAUUUAAAAUGCUACAGGAACGUAAAGAAAAAUUAGAGCUCAAGAGGUUCAUGGAUUUGGCAAUUAGGAACAAUGAGGACACACGCCAGUGAAAAGUACACAACAAGGAUUUGUUUCCAUUAGCUUGAAAAAUGGUCUCUUUUCCUUAUUAAGGCACAGUGAGGCUAGGAACAUUCUGAAAAUUAUCUUCAAAUCUACUGACUUCAUAUUUAGUCCCCCUUUU